AGCUAGUUGGUGAGGUAAUGGCUCACCAAGGCGACGAUCGUUAGCUGGUCUGAGAGGACGAUCAGCCACACUGGGACUGAGACACGGCCCAGACUCCUACGGGAGGCAGCAGUGGGGAAUAUUGGACAAUGGGCGAAAGCCUGAUCCAGCAACGCCGCGUGAGGGAUGACGGCCUUCGGGUUGUAAACCUCUUUCAGUACCGACGAAGCGCCUUUAACGGUGGUGACGGUAGGUACAGAAGAAGGACCGGCCAACUACGUGCCAGCAGCCGCGGUAAUACGUAGGGUGCGAGCGUUGUCCGGAAUUAUUGGGCGUAAAGGGCUCGUAGGCGGUUUGUCGCGUCGGGAGUGAAAACCCAGGGCUUAACUCUGGGCUUGCUUUCGAUACGGGCAGACUUGAGGCAUUGAGGGGAGAACGGAAUUCCUGGUGUAGCGGUGAAAUGCGCAGAUAUCAGGAGGAACACCGGUGGCGAAGGCGGUUCUCUGGGCAUUACCUGACGCUGAGGCGCGAAAGCGUGGGUAGCAAACAGGAUUAGAUACCCUGGUAGUCCACGCCCUAAACGAUGGAUACUAGCGUCGGAGUAUCGACCCCUCCGGUGCCGCAGCAAACGCAUUAAGUAUCCCGCCUGGGAGUACGGCGCAAGGUUGAA
Molecule: ribosomal RNA, 649 nt
Filed under: uncultured bacterium
Lineage: Bacteria
Description: bacterial SSU rRNA
Rfam family: Bacterial small subunit ribosomal RNA
Source: RNAcentral